Dermochelys coriacea (leatherback sea turtle) is the source of this 3628-nucleotide long non-coding RNA. RefSeq lists it as uncharacterized. The record is from RefSeq and is a predicted model, not a curated record. The transcript is spliced from 3 exons. Lineage: Eukaryota; Metazoa; Chordata; Testudines; Dermochelyidae.
AUCAGGCCUCAGCUGGCCCUAUAAAGGGGAUGUGAGCCAGGAGCUGAGGGGUCUCACUCUAGCCUAGGAGCGGGAAGGCCUGCCUGGGAGCAAGAUUACUGCGUGUUGGCAACAGACUCGGGGGAAGCUGAGACUGCACUGCUCCUCCGAGCAGCGAGCUGACUUGAAUGAAGGUGACGGCUCUAACGAGCUGCUAGGAGACUGUCCCACUCCCCCGUGGUGGAUGACGACCAACCUCCAUGAUUCAUGCUGUUGUCACUUCUUGGCUGGAGUACAGCAGUGUGACAGACCUGGGCAUGAAGCCUUCAGCGCCUGGGGACUUGCAGUGGGAACAGAACUCUGCAAGGCGUCUCCUUAGCAGCCUGGGGCUGCCGUGAGUGCAUCACACCUGUUUCUGCUCCCUACGUCGGCAAGCCAUUGAAUAUAAAUCAAGUUCAUGGUCUCUGUUCAAGGCACUCCAUGGCCGGGUUCCAGGGUAUCAGAUAGAGCCUACAGCUCCAGGACACAGACCACAGUUGACAAAUCUGCUCGUCUGGCCCAACUGAACUCUCCACAAUGGGGGUAAAGCUCGUCUGUGCAGGAGACUGAGCUCUUCCUCGGGGGCCAGUCCCAGGCUGUGGAAUGAAACGCCUGGAACAAAGGGCCAUCCCAAACCUGCCCACCUGCGCUCCCAGUGUGAGGCACAUUUCUCUGACCUUCCUCUUCUUGCAUCAACACAGAGCAACAAGUGUGUCUAAAAAAGCAUUUCUCUUUUUCAGGAGAUGAACCUGGCCACAAACAAACACCCCACCCCAGCACCCUACCCAGCGGAGAUGCUUCAAUCUCCACUUCUCCCCCCGGGGAGAGAAGAGAGAACAAGUGGGUGACAGCUUGGUAGUCAUGUCACGUAAUGCUCAGACACUGCAGUGACGAAUGUGGUAUAAGAACAGGUAGAGAACAGAACCUGGGGAAAGCCACUUCACUUUCAUGUGCCUCAGUUUCCCCAUUUGUAAAACAGGGAUCCUGAUGGGGCAGCAGAAGUGUGGGGCCACAGUCACCAAUGUAGAGAAUGUUUCUUAAUGUCCUUGGAUCAAAGAUGCUCUAGGAACAAAGGAUUCUUUUGGGAAAUCGUCUGAAUGGGAGUUUGACACCAACACUUGGCCCAUUGUUAGCUAGCAGUAUCUGGCCAUCAUUAAUUAACUGUCCUGGGGUGGUUCAGCCAGGAAACGGCAUAGGGCAAUUGGAGCUAGGCCCAUCCUGAUGCUUGUGAGAUGACCAAGCCCAGCCAGUCCACUGGCAGAUGGUGUGUCCAAGAGUGGGUGUGCUCAAGUCUGUUUUCAGGAGCCAGCCAACGGUGUAACUACAGUCCCCUAAUGUAGACAGGCCAAACCACGCUGAACAGGGAUUCACUUUCCUUUCCCUGCUCUUUGGAACUAGGCUCAGCCACCCUGGGUGCAAAUCAAAGCUCACAGUAGUUCUGCUUCUCUAGCCCACCACCACCCAACUCCUUUCUAGCUUUUUUUUAUCCAGAGCCUUUAUGAAGAAGGCCACUAUCACUAUCCCCACAGCUGGGGAAACUGAGGCCCAGAGCCUGUCAAAGGUCACCCAGCGGGCCACUGGGCAGAACCAGGACUAGAACCCAACUAUCCUGGGGAAACUGAAGCACAGAAAGGGGAAGUGAAGUCACUCAGAGGCAAAGCUGGGACUAGAACUCCCAGGGCCCCACUCUAGCUACUAGACCACACUCCUUCUAGAGUGUGGAACAAAACCCUGAGAUCCUGCUUCAGAGCAGACCACACUGUCUCCUUCCCUAAUGAACAUCGUUUGGGUGACUUCACAAUCAGUGAGCAAACACUAACAAUGCCUAGCUUUUAUAUACCAUUUUUGGUCAGUCUAUAGGCUCUUUACAAAGGAGGUCAGACUCCCUAUACAGAUAGGGAAACUGAGGCACAGAGCGGUGAAGUGACUCUCCUCAGGUCCCCCAGCAGGAAGUGACUUUGGGCCAGAUGUUCAGCAGGUGUAAAUGGGUGCCACUCUGCUGAUGGUGAUGGAGCUAUUCCCAUUUACACCAGCUAAGGAUCGGGCCCUUCCUUUGCUGCGGCGCUUGCCCUUUUGCACACAGGCCUGUCUUGGGCUAAUGGCUGGGGAACGGCGGCAGUGGGGUGGGAGGGGUGCCAAGGGGGCUUACGGGCCAGUUGGAGCGCCAGAUGUUCAGCACUUCAGAGAGCCAGACCUGGUGAGAUCUGAUUACUGCAAGAGCUGCUCCUGAGCUCCCUUUAAAGCCAUGCCUGAGAACAGCCACACAGCUUGUUAUUUAAUGAUCAAUUGUAGUGCUGGUGCCAGCAUGCUCCAGGGGGAGCACAAGGAUGGAAGCUAUGGAAACCAGGGGGAGGGAUAGGCCCAGGGGAGCAGCGAGGGUGGUGCAUAGUGAAUUGGGCCAAGAGAGCAGUGACGUGGCAGAGGUGGAAUGGAGGGACAGGUGUGACGUAGGGGGGAAUCAUGCAGAGGAAUGGGGUGGGGGCUGCAGGUAGGGGAGUAGAUGAAGUGGACAGAGAAUCAAGCUCUGAGAAGUGGUGGGAGUGUGGGGCAGGCUCAAGGGAAGGGGAUCUUGCAGGACCCAGUUUCAAACCCUCCACCUCCAGUGGGUGGUUGCACAGAACACUGGGUGGAGAGGUUUUGUUUCUGGAUAAAUUGCAGGGGCCGGUCCCCUCUCUCCAAACCCUGAGGGGCAUUGCUUCCGUCUCUCUCCCUGGCUGGCUUCUCUGAGCAGGGUGGGGUGCAGCGCUUGCUCUGGGGAUGGGCUGCAAAGUGGGGUGCUCUCAGCUGGCACAGGGUUCAGAGCCACGUGCACAGUCGAUGGUGACAUACCCUCCCCAUAAACACCAACGCUGUGUCUUCUCUGGCACCUUCCGGCUGGGAAUCCUGGCCAUUAGUUAAUUAACCCUCUUGUCACGUCAGUAUUGCCCCCUAUAGCCAAAUGGGGAAACUGAGGCCAAGGGUGGGGCUGUGAGCUGCCCAAGAUCACAUGGUGUCCUGACUCCCAGCUCCUUCCUCUCCUAUAGUCACUAGCCCCCUCUUCCCACCGACAGCUGGGAAUAGAACCCAGGAGUCUUGACACCCAGCCCCCACUGCUCUAACUGCUAGACCCCACUCCCCUUCCACAGCUGGGAAUAGAACCAAGGAGUUCUCGCUCCCAGCCCUGAUGCUCUAACCACUAGCUAGUACUAUAAACCUGGGCUUUUCCUCAUGCCUUGUGAAGCUCAUCUGGUUCCAUGUCGCGUGUCCCUCCAGGAGGAUGUGAGAAUGGAUGAUACAUGAGCACUGUGCCUCCCAGCUGCCCAAGCCCAUGUUUGCUAACAUGCCUCCUCACCGCGAUGCCUCUCCCAAGGCGGGCGGGGGAGACGGGAGCAGGCUCAGACGCCAUAACAGGAAUAGUAAUGAGGCCGGUGUCUGCAGGGGUGGCAAGGAACCUUCCCAGGGAUCUGGCUCCCCAGCUCCAUGAUCCAGUAUCUGCUGACAGCGCCCCCUGGCCCAGCACUGGCCAGGGGGAGCUCUACAGAUUUGGGAGCUCAAGGAGCACUUGAGUCAAUUCUUACAGGCCCUCCUCCCACUGUGGGUUGCACUGGAGAGCAGGGACCCGUAGCUAGCU